UGGGGAAUAUUGCACAAUGGGGGAAACCCUGAUGCAGCGACGCCGCGUGAACGAAGAAGGUAUUCGUAUCGUAAAGUUCUGUCCUAUGGGAAGAUAAUGACAGUACCAUAGAAGAAAGCUCCGGCUAAAUACGUGCCAGCAGCCGCGGUAAUACGUAUGGAGCGAGCGUUGUCCGGAAUUAUUGGGCGUAAAGGGUACGCAGGCGGUUUAAUAAGUCGAAUGUUAAAGAUCGGGGCUCAACCCCGCAAAGCAUUGGAAACUGAUAAACUUGAGUAGUGGAGAGGAAAGUGGAAUUCCGAGUGUAGUGGUGAAAUACGUAGAUAUUAGGAGGAAUACCAGUAGCGAGGGCGACUUUCUGGACACAAACUGACGCUGAGGUACGAAAGCGUGGGGAGCAAACAGG
Molecule: ribosomal RNA, 403 nt
Filed under: bacterium
Lineage: Bacteria
Description: partial 16S ribosomal RNA
Rfam family: Bacterial small subunit ribosomal RNA
Source: RNAcentral